Molecule: long non-coding RNA, 771 nt
Organism: Hevea brasiliensis (rubber tree)
Lineage: Eukaryota; Viridiplantae; Streptophyta; Magnoliopsida; Malpighiales; Euphorbiaceae
Exons: 2
Source: RefSeq, a predicted model, not a curated record
UCCACAUUGCUUGAUCAUUUCACUUUAGCCCGUGCAUAUGAUCAAAAUUAUAUUUUAUUAAUAUAUAAUAUAAAUUGUUGAUAAACAUAGCAUGGAAUCAAGCAAAGUGAUGAAAAUAUAAUUUUAUCUUUAUAAUUUUUAAAGGGUUUGAUGUAAGACAAGGACAUUAUAUCAGCGAGAUCACCCUGCAGCAUCGGCCAACAUCGUAGAUGAGAGCCUUGUUUCUAUAACCAAGGGGCUAAAAAGCCCAUUAACUAAUUUUUUGAUGGGCUAACAAGCCCAAGAAACCUCCAAAGGACGAAAAUAACCCUCACUGGUGCUUGCGCAAGGCUAGGUCUAUUCUUAUUAGGGUUUUGUGUCGCUGAUAAAUGUCAAAGGGAAGCCCUUGUUUGGUUCCUUAUAAACUUGCAAUUGAAAAUCUGCUCCAUUAGAGAGGAAUUGCAGAAUAGAGUGAGAAGCGUAGAUCCUGAGAGGUUGAACCAAGAUGAGGGCUAAAUGGAAGAAGAAGCGCAUGAGGAGAUUGAAGAGGAAGCGCCGAAAGAUGAGGCAGAGAUCCAAGUAGGUGCUUGGAAUUGAACAAGAUACCUUCAGCUCAGCUUAUGGUGCUGCGCGAAGUGGGUUGCUGGAAGGAUGCUUGUUAGGGAAAGCUUCAUUUGUUUUUGCCUCCUGUUUUUAGUUUUAGCAACUGUUUUUGGGACUUAUUGAAUUUAACGUUUUGAGUUGUAUUUGACUUAAUAUAUGAAACUGGUUUUAAAGGUUUAUGCAUUACAA